UACGUAGGGUGUAAGCGUUAAUCGGAAUUACUGGGCGUAAAGCGUGCGCAGGCGGUUAUGUAAGACAGAGGGUAAAUCCCCCGGCUCAACCUGGGAACUGCCUUUGUGACUGCAUAGCUAGAGUACGGUAGAGGGGGAUGGAAUUCCGCGUGUAGCAGUGAAAUGCGUAGAUAUGCGGAGGAACACCGAUGGCGAAGGCAAUCCCCUGGACCUGUACUGACGCUCAUGCACGAAAGCGUGGGGAGCAAACAGGAUUAGAUACCCUGGUAGUCCACGCCCUAAACGAUGUCAACUGGUUGUUGGGUCUUCACUGACUCAGUAACGAAGCUAACGCGUGAAGUUGACCGCCUGGGGAGUACGGCCGCAAGGUUG
Molecule: ribosomal RNA, 372 nt
Filed under: uncultured prokaryote
Description: bacterial SSU rRNA
Rfam family: Bacterial small subunit ribosomal RNA
Source: RNAcentral